CAAAGAAUUCAGACUACACUUUCGGGGGCCGAGUUGGGCCCCUCCCAGUAACCUUUGACCCUUUGAACUCACGUCUUCUCCUCUCACCUUAAAGGUGCACAUCGCCACUUUACGCAUCUCUACACCUCCUUGUGGUCACCGCUUCCGCUGAGAGACCAGACAUUGACUGCGACUCCUCGCUUUCGCACCCCUCGCUUGUCCUAAUCUAUGGGACCAUCAGGUGCGGCAUUUGCUACUCACGAUUCACAAUCCCCCAAAGGCGGGGAAUCACGACGUCGAUUGCGUAAUUCGUGAGGCGGACCCCUCAUGCCAGCGUUCUGACUUUGAGUUUCCUUAACUGCCCCCGGGCGUGUUCGCCACCUCGUACACCAAAUUAAGCUUCGUUGCGCUUCUUGGAAUGGUCCAGAACUGUAGGAGACUGUUGGGAUCUCUAUCCCGAAAGGGAAGCCCCUGUCUCACUGUCCACCACGUACCAACAGCAGUCGAGCACAGCACUCUACAACCCAAUUCAGGGCGUUGCUCGCGUUGGGAACUAGAAUCAACGGUCGUAAGUCAACCCGUGAGAUUCCACUGACGGCCACUGUUUGGCCUCCUUCCACCCCUACUGCAGUUUAGUAGUACGGGGAAUACUGGACCCGAUGUGUGCACGAUGUUACCUGUCUUGUUUCCCGACGCUCUGGCGUUCCAAAUCGGUUAGGGUGUUUAGACAAGAGUCAAGCCUAGCGUCAGACGUUGAGCUGACGCACUUCGACCUUAGCGAUCAU
This 764-nucleotide ribosomal RNA is filed under the name Bacillus sp. (in: firmicutes). Its description in RNAcentral is "Bacillus sp. (in: Bacteria) partial 16S ribosomal RNA". The record is from RNAcentral. Lineage: Bacteria; Bacillati; Bacillota; Bacilli; Caryophanales; Bacillaceae.